Molecule: long non-coding RNA, 1286 nt
Organism: Dermacentor silvarum
Lineage: Eukaryota; Metazoa; Arthropoda; Arachnida; Ixodida; Ixodidae
Exons: 5
Source: RefSeq, a predicted model, not a curated record
UCUCUCGCGCCAGCGUUAUAUUCCACCACGACACUUUACGCGCAUCGUUUGGUGCCGUGCGACAAACGGCAGGAAAGAAGCAAACGUGCACGGAAGGAUGGAAUCGAUUCUCGAUGCAGUGAAUUCGCGUUCCUUGCGGUCGCGUUCGCUCAACUGUGAAUAGUUGCAGCGGAGACAGUCAAGACGACAGCGCGACCUUCGUCAUCCGGCCGUCGAUCAGUGGCCUGCCGAAGCUGAAAGUCGAAUUUGCAGUCAUGUCCCGGCUGGUGGUCGAGUCCUGAAUUGCCGUGCCACCGUGCAAUUCAGCGCGCAUAUAGGCUUCCAGACAUUGCACGCAAUUAAGUUCCUGGCACGCUUUCACCGUGGUCUGAGAUACGGCGAACGUGUCGCUGAGGGGGCGUUGGGUCCUUGAACACAACUCGGGUCACUGGGCAGCAGCCUUUCACGACAGUGGUCGCCCGGCCAGUCAGGAAGCUUGCUUGCUACCAUGGGGGAACCGAGGCUGGAACUAGGGUUUUGACCCUGAGCAGGAGACGUCCUCGUCUUACCAUCAGCUGGCCCAUUUAACCUGCCACGUCGUCGAUGACAUGUGCCACGCGCGCGUUCCGGGAGUCCCCUCGGUCCUUGGCUGCGCAGCGUCGAGUGGACCGGCCCAGCUUUAGUGGCGGCCAGCCUCCACCAGCGGUGACCAGCAGCAGGCGCCGUGCAUCGGACAGAGCUGCCACCACGCAGCAGAGCGCGGCGCCACGCUGGGGCCCGCGGAUCGUGCGCCGGCGUGCGCUACUCGACGGCGCGGCGUCCGCCAUUGCCAGGAUGCUGCAACACGCGUUCCAGUCUUCGAUGUCAUGACGGCAUCUGUCUCCGUAGUUCUAGUCUUCGAGCUUUCCGAUGUUUCUUAUUUGGCACAACUAGUAGGACGUCCACAAGCACUGUCAUCCUCUAUUCUGUGAUCUUCCAAUAAGAUCCCUGCUGCCAGAAGGUUCCUCCAUGAUGUGAUUCGGAGGUGGAUGCACACAGCGGCCCAAUUCACUCCUCUCAACAUCCUCAGCUGUUGCGUCCACAAACGCUUUUUUGUUGUUGUUUUUUUUCGAAUUGUCCAGCUUUUGUUCCAGUGCACCAUAGCGCUGGCUCUUGCGAUCAACAGGGAAGACAACCCCUCAACCCACGCCGCCCAUAAACGCAGUGGGGACCCUAGCGACGGCCUUCGAUCCGCAUUUGAUUGGAAUUUUAAAGUUUUAAUAAACUCGCAUCGUUCAUUGUCAGUCUACUUCAGUUAUGCUGUUCAU